UUUCGCCUGACGCCUCCCCUCGAAACGUGCGGGGGAAGAGCGGACAUGGUCGUCCGGACCCUUCGAGGUGCGGUCGGCUGAAAUACGCGCGCUGGGCCGUCGCCCCCGGCCCGACCGGCGGUGGCUCCGUUCGGGGUCGGCGUUUGUCGGGAUCGCGGAUCGUGCGGCUCCGUGCGAUCGAACUUUGCAUGCCUU
RNAcentral lists this non-coding RNA (195 nucleotides) under Nageia nagi. The record is from RNAcentral. Lineage: Eukaryota; Viridiplantae; Streptophyta; Pinopsida; Araucariales; Podocarpaceae.